UCCGUCCCGGCCCCCGUACCCGGUGCGGCGGCCUCUCGGGUCCGGAGGAGCAGGCCGAGGUCCCCGGAGGCCCGGGUUCCCCCUCGCGAGCGCCGGCGGCGACGGAACCAAGACUUCCGGGAGUUCCGGGCCGCCGGCGCCGGCGACGCGAGCGCAGGGGGCGCGGGCGUGGGGGCGCGGGGAGCGGCGGCGUCCCUGGGAAACGGCGCCGGCUGGAAACGCGCGCUCGGCCACAAAGGUUCCGCCGCCCUACUGCCCGCCUUUGCCCAGAGCCCUGCGGGGGGGGGGGGGGGGGGAGGAAGGGAGACACGGAGGGCCGGAGUGGGGGGCGUGAAAAGCACAGAAGCCCGCCCCCUACCCCCCUCCCAUCCCCGACAGGCACCGCCGGGUCGCUGUGACAGGGAUUGAUUGGUUGGCGGGAUGUUACCUCACUCCUGGCUGCUGUGAGGACCUCUCUGAGGUUCUUAUCAGCAACGGAAACCUGAGGACUCUGAAGCUUGGGGACAACAAAAUACAAGAUGCGGGUGUCAGACAGUUAUGUGGGGCGUUGAGGCACCCUAACUGUAAACUGGAGAAUCUCGGGCUGGAGCUGUGUGAGCUCACCGCUGCCUGCUGCGAGGACCUGGCCUCGGCCCUCACCGUCUGCAAGUCCCUUGGGGGCCUCAACCUGGAAUGGAACAGCCUGGACCGAGAUGGCAUGGCAGCGCUGUGUGAAGCCCUGGGCCACCAGGACUGUGCCCUGCAGCUGCUCGGAUGUGGAAGCAUGGACCUGUGGACUGAAGGGUCCCAGGUUCGAUUCCGGUCAAGGCCAUGUACCUUGAUUGCGGGCACA
Long non-coding RNA from Pipistrellus kuhlii (Kuhl's pipistrelle), 832 nucleotides. RefSeq lists it as uncharacterized. The transcript is spliced from 3 exons. Lineage: Eukaryota; Metazoa; Chordata; Mammalia; Chiroptera; Vespertilionidae. The record is from RefSeq and is a predicted model, not a curated record.